Molecule: long non-coding RNA, 1074 nt
Organism: Helianthus annuus (common sunflower)
Lineage: Eukaryota; Viridiplantae; Streptophyta; Magnoliopsida; Asterales; Asteraceae
Exons: 3
Source: RefSeq, a predicted model, not a curated record
ACACGCUCUUAUCUUUCUUGGAUCCUCCCGCUUCAAACAAGUUUUGAAAACCCUAAUCCCAAUUCAAAAUUCAAACACGCCCUUCUCUUUCUUGGUUCUCUCUCUCAAAUUCAGAUAUUCGAAUGUCAUUCAGCCUCACCCUCUCUCGUUACUCUCCAUUGAUCGGAGGAGUUUGUGGUGCAAGAUUUCACAUCGCCUUCUCUGUUUGACAUGGAAGGGUUCUUAUCAGAUUUUCUGAUGGAUACCCAAAUGGGUGGAGAAUCAUUUUCGCUCUCUCAUCACCAUCCUUACUUCUCCCUCUCCCUCUCUACUGAAAAGUUAGGUUUUUUUUUCAACUUCAGUUCACCCAAAACCCUAAAACCUCCAAUGUGCUCUAAUUCAUCAGGGAAAUCUCAGUCGAUGGUUCCUCCUUACAUUGUACUAAAGGUUUAAUUUGCUUAAUUUUUGUUUUUUCUUUUCGCCUGUGGAUAAAAUGAAUUUAGUUGGUGAUUUCGAAGCUUAAAGUGGGUUUAGUUUUCUUUAUUGUUGUUGUUGUUGUUAAUAUCUCCUGUUUGGGUUUCUUCCUCUAAGAUGCAGAUUGAUUUGGCUUCACACAUUGUUAGGGUUGUGUCGACUUUGAAGAUUGCUUAAACAUGUGACAAAUUACAGUGAGUCUAACAUGUGGUCGUUGCUUGGAGGGUUCCAAUAGCGAGGGUCAGAUGAUCCACACUUGAGUAAUUCUCAUGAUUUUAUUGAUGAUGCUGGAAACAUAAGAAGUGGCUACAAAAAAGAUGCCCUUGUUGAUUUGAAUAGAGCAGAGGUGGCUUUGCUUGAAAAAGUUUUUGAACCUAAUAUGGAAACAUAGAUUGAAGCUGCACAAUAUAAUGCAGAGUUACAAAGGGUGGUGAGAUAUUUGGGAGUUAGUAAAGAAAAUAUACAAGAAGGAUCACUUCGUUGUGAUGUCAAUGUUUUGUCCGUAUAGUUAGUUAAUUAGAAUUUGUCACUAAGGUACUUAAUAUCGACCCGCUUACGUAUUCUUGGAUUGAUUGGGUUGUGUUUUAUCUUGAAUGGUCCAUAUAGAGAAAUAUUAUUAUU